This 1394-nucleotide long non-coding RNA is filed under the name Gallus gallus (chicken). Its description in RNAcentral is "lncRNA (ENSGALG00010020000.1)". The record is from RNAcentral. Lineage: Eukaryota; Metazoa; Chordata; Aves; Galliformes; Phasianidae.
AUCUCUUCCUGGAGAUUGUUCUUUGUGGAGUUUUUGCAAGCCUACAACACGGGAACGACAACAAAGAGUGCAACAAUGCUAUUUGAUACAGUGCAUUCUCAGCUACAAAAUGUUAAUUUUCAACCUAGUAAUCAACAUCAGCUAUGCAUUUUCACUGGUGAUGAACAGGAUAUUGCAUGCUACUCUCAGAAAAAUUUGCACUAGCAGAAGUGAACUACUGUUGCCACUGCGGAAACAUACCACUUGCCAGCUCACAUCCACUGUUUGGUCUCCAUAAACAUUCAGCAAGUGUCAAUGAAUGGCAAUGUGUGCCAUUUUUUUUGCAUGGAGGAGCUCAAUGACAUACCUUAGCUUCAGGUGCACUUCUAUGUCAGAUGCUGUUUUGUCAGGCUGCUCCUUUGCUGCCACCUGUCAUAUAGCAACAAAAUGUAAUGGAGUAUUGGUGGAAAGGCUUAACCUCUACUGCCAUACCACCAGCAUCUGUCUCUGAUGGGUGAACACAACAAAAUAGGAGGCAUAACUUUUGGAUCAGCCCUCCUAUGUAAUACAGUUAAUGUAUAUAAGCAACCUGAAUUAUUAUUUUAUGUUUUAAUUAAAAAAAUAGAGAACAGAAACAGAACUAAUGGGAUAUCUGAUCUUGUUUUUGUGACACUAAUACAUCGAUCUAGUUCAAUGGCAGUGGCCGCAAUUCUCAGUGAGCUCAAAAGGUGUUUGUCAGAGAUCUCUGAUGAAAUGUUACUCUUCCUGUGAUUCAUCCUUGAAAACAGUUGAUCAUAAAAGAAUGUAUUGCCAGAAAGCAAUAACAUGAAUAAGACGUGACUGUGAAGUGAGGGGUAUUUUUCUCUGGUCAGAUGGGGCUUAUAAAGGUCUGGUAAAAAGAGACGUGGUUGGUUUUUUGAGCUGAGUGGCUGAUUGCAACUCUGUAUAUUCCAUUUGAAAAUUUGCAGAGAACUUACUUAAGCCUACUGAAAAUGGAGUUGCAAUUAGAUAAAAAAAAUUGGUCAUUUUCCUAGCAAUCUUGAAACCUGUUUUCAAAUUCCUGAAUGAAAACAGAAAGCAUGAUGGUGAAUUUUCCACUGUUCAUAGACUGUGUUAAGACAAUGCAUCAAACCCCACUGUGCAGUUAUUGCUGGGCCGGGCUGGGCUGAACCACUGCCAUGGUGGUGCAGGGCAGGGGACUUCUGACUGCCACUCAGGCAGGGGCUGUCAUUAAGUGAAACCAAAAUGUUUUGCUUUAGUUCUGUGUUUGUCCUGACAAAUGCCAAUUCUUGUUUUCAGUUCAAGCACUGCUGUUCAUUAACUAGUCAGUUGUUGAGAGCACGUGAAAUACUGUGAGUUUUCUGAUUAUCUCAUUCAAGAGUAAAAAGUGGCUCUUUAUUGUUUUCUUGAUGAUG